UUUGGAAGGAAAAAGGUGUGCUCGUUGUCAAUAUGUGUCCUGCUUUGGAAAACAUCCCGUGAUAUCACACACCUCAUUCUUCUUUUGUAUGUGGUCACUAUCGAUCCUCACUCUUAAAGUUCUCACUUUCAUUCAUCAACCAACAUAAAGUAUUGUUUCCAUUUGGAACAUUUUGUGUCUUUGAAAGUGUUUUUAGAGCUGUUUUCUGCAAUGGUUUGAUAUUUUGGUGUGAUGUAAAUAAAGGCAGCUAUUCACCAGUGCAACGUAUAUUGAAGCACAUUGAUGUGGCCCCAACAGAGUGGGAAUGCUGCAUGAAGUUCUUUCAGUAUUUAUGUCCAGUGCGUCUGACUGAGUUUUAAAAGCAAUAUGCAGUGAGGCAUGGCUACUUCCUCUACUGUGAUGUUGUUCUCUAGGGUCAUUCAAGAUCAUGUUCACAAGGCCUGAUUCCUGGAUAUCAAUACAGAACAAGCUCAAAACCUAGCUGCUAAACACAAAGGGAAAUAAGAAAUUAACUUUUAAGUAUUUCCUUACAUUAUUUUUGUGCUAAAUCUAUUUACUCCUACUUUGUUUUAAUUAUCAAAACACUAAUUUUUUUUUAACGUUUGCACAGUAGAGGGAGCUGGAAGUUUAAAAUAUGUAUUCAGUGUUUAACUGUUGCCUGUAAAGAUGAGAAAUGUCAGUGGAAUAACAAAUGAGGUUUUAGCAUUGCAGGAAGAUGAUGGACAUUUAUUCCAAGCCAUUAAGUUCAAUGAGUCAGAGGAUUUUAAGUCAGUGGUGUUAAUGGUCUUACCUGGGAGCACUACCAUGAGACAGCAGAGGCUGCUCAGCCAUAUGCUUUGCAGCUGAUUUUAUUAAACUACAGCUGGCAUUGGCUCCUUGAUGCUGUUUGUGUUCAGAAAUACUCUUUUAAUGGAAAAAUUUAAAUAUAUAUAUUUCAGUUACCUUUUAACUAAAUAAUCUUUCCAGAUUCUGUAAGUGUUGAGGUUUUUUUCUCCAUCUUUGUAUUUUAGUUGCUGUCAAACUCAUUUCAGUUGAGCCUGAGAUUCAGUCCAUUGGAGCUGCCAGUAUAAAGGCACAUGUACUUGCCCUUGAGCCUAUUUCUAUGAACACAAUCUUCUCCCAUCUCCAUUAGACUAAACUAUUUACGGAAAACCCAUUUUGAUAAAACCAGGCAAGGGAGAGGGUGCAUGUUUAGCUGGUCUGUUAGAGUUGAAAGAAAGUGUUAUCUCUUGCCGUCCCAGAGCUCCAGGCACCAUGCACAUCCUAAUGAAAAGUCCCUCAGUCAGUGUUUAUUUCCAAUGCACAUGAGAAUCAUUAAGAAACCCUCUAAAAAAAAGCCCUGUUUUCCUCACUGUCCUUUGACUGCGUUAGAAAAAUUACCUACCUGGCAGCAACUCUACCUGAUCCUGCCAUUUCAGAGGCAUCUCUGACCACAUGCAGAGAAAUAUAGAGCAGCACCUCUACUCUGGUGAGGGUAGAACUUCUUUUAAGCAAUUCACCUGGGGCUCAGCUGCUUUCUUAACUGCAGAGAGGGUCCAGCUUCACUUGGUGCCAUUUGGGGCACAUCUGCUGCAUGGCCUCUGCUGCAGCAUGGCCUCUCUGCAUGGGAGCAGCAGAGUAUAGCAGAGGAGGUGAGGAGACCUCAACACACAGCUUGGGCACAUCAUUAUACCACAUCUGACCAAAGCUGCAAUGACGUCUGGGGGUGUGAGUUCUUGUGGCUCUUACAGUUGGGGAAGAGUAAUUUUUCCUUCAUAUCCCUUGUUUGGGAAUUAGAGAGAUCUAGUGGUAAUGUAAGUGUACAAAGGUGUCUACAAAAGGCAGAUGAGGAACAGCUUUGAAGGAUCUUUUAAGUGAAGACAAGAAAUUUGAAAAAACAAAUUUAAAGCAGUAGGACUUUCUUAUUGUGGUGAGCUGGUGGGAGUGCCUGACACUGAUGGCAAAAGUGUUUAUUGUGAAUUGAGUUAAUACAGGAUGUGACAGAACGAGAGCUCUAGCUGCAUGGACAGUCACAUCUCAGGCAAGGGGAGAGAAAGGCACAGAAAAGAUCAACAGUUUGAUUUGUGAGCUUAAAGAUGAGCUUAAAUUUGUAAGUGGCACUUUGGAAACAGAAUAUGGCACUUUUAUAUCAGAUCUGUGCUGUUGUUACCUGUAUGAUUCAAAGAGAUGGCUUUAUAAGCAAUUAUUUAAUCACAAUAUAUCAUAUACUCUGCUGUUUCUUUGCAGGUGACUGCAGGAAUGACAGUUUAGGCUGUUACCACAGGGUGUCUCUCCUUGGUAGAGUCUGGCAUUCUAUCUGCUGUGACCCAUAUAGUUUUCCCCGCUGAUAAUUACUUUCUCUUAUCUGGUCAAGAAAAUUCCCUUCAAAGGAUUUCUUUGAUUGAGGAAAUUCAUUAAUAUGAUCUUGAGAUAAUAUUAAUGCUUCUUUGCUUGAGUCUUCUCAGUUACUCUUUGAACAGCACAUUUUUCCAUAGUUUAUUAAGGAAGAUUAGCAUCUUUUGAAGUUUACUUUAAUGGAAGACCUUCUAUCAAUUAAUUAAUAUUUUCUAGGUUCCAGAAAAAAAAAGUAGUUGAGAAAAGUAAAUCUGUGUAUUAUUAUUGCAGGAAACAUCUGUGCCCACCUCUUAACACAGAUUUAUGUAAACCCUUGGAACUGUUCACCCAAGGAAUGAUCUCAUGCUCAGGCUUCCUGAACCCAUCUCACAAACUGUCAUACUCAUAAUCAGCAAAACAGGCAAAUGAAAGAAAUGUUCAAGAAAUUAAGGUUCUUUUGGCUCUACGAGGAGCAGUUAAAAGGUGUGAUUGUUAAUAGUUCCCACGAGAUGGCUCCCGAGGUACAGAAGUGAUGCAGUGCCCAGCAUGGAUUAGGUUCAUGACCAGCAACUCUAUCAUGUCGUAAAACACUACUGCAGAGAACAACAAAACCAUAACUUUAGCCCAGACUCCACCGAGGAUAAACAUUACCACAGGGAGCACAUACACCGAGAGCGGUGUUAUAUAACAUGCCUGUGAGCACGUAUGCAAAUGAAAUAACAUGGUGACCAGCAACUACUAAACCAAUAAAAUUGUUGCUUAUAAUUAAUUUGUUUUAACAUGCUCUGAUCAGGUCUGUUUUUAUCUCAAUCCUCCGGGCCCUAUGUUGGGCACCAAAAAUGUCUGUCAUUGUUUAACUGCAGCCCUAACUAAGCACCACACAGCUGCUACCUCACUACCCUUGCCCCAGUGGAGAGGAGAAUUGGAAAGAAUAGGUAAGCCUUAUGUGUUAAGAUAAGUACAGCUGAAUAAUCAAAACAAAAUAAAAUAUACUAUUACUACAACUAAUGAUAAUGACAACUGUAAUGGAAAAAAGAGACAGAGAGCAAUAAACCCCAAAAGAAACAACUGAUGCAUAGUACCGUUGCUCACCGCCUGAAGCCCAGCCCUUCCCCCAGGAGCGAUCAGCCCCUCCUAGCCAACUCCCCCCAGUUCAUAUACUGGGCAUGAUGCUCUAUUGUAUGGGAUAUCCCUUUGGCCAGCAGGUCAGCUGUCCUGGACAUGCUCCCUCCCAGCUUCCUGUUCACCUGCUAACUGAUGGAGCAUGGGAAAUUGAAAAGUCCUUGGUUCAGGGUAAGCCCUGCUGAGCAACAGUUAAACCAUCAGUUUCUUACCAACAUGAGUCUCACACUGAAUCCAAAACACAGCACUGCACCAGCUAUGAAGAAGAAAAUUAACUCUAUCCUAGCCAAAACCAGGCCGGAUCUUUUUAUUUAUUUCUUCCAGAAAGGAAGAAAUAUUACAAGAAAUCUGUUAAAGGAAAUUUAUUAAUUUAAGAGAUGGAAUUUCUGUCUCAACAGAUGAAUGCAGUUUUUCUCACAAGCUCAGUCAUACGCCUUUACUUUAUUCAGAAUUGGAAUAGCAAUGUUCUGAAGAGUAGAAAAAAAAAUGAACAGAGUUGGUUCCAACAGAGGAAGAGCUAAGACAUAUGUGCAGAAGACAGAACAAGUUUAAACUAUUUGGAGAUGUUUGAGACACAUCAUUUUCUCAAAUGAGAGUUGUGGUCACUUGGCACACUGAGAUAUUCUCUGUCAUUUGAGUGCUGCAUUUUUCCACGGAAUGGAAAUUUAUGGGAUUUCUCAUUUAAGAAGUGUCCUAGGACCUGUCUUGCUCAGCCCUAAAGCCAGUCUUUCAUGCAUCUGGGAAGGACCAUUAUUCUGUUUUCAUGGUGGGUUUAUGUUGCUGUCUCACCAAUCUCUGUGGAGUCAGCUGAAUUCCAAUGGUUAUAAAAUGAUCCUUCAGGUGGCUGUAAGACUACUGGUAACACAAUCCUAUAAUAUCUCAGACUUAACUCUGUAAGAUUUUGUAUGAAAAUAACUUAAACAGUGUUAUUAUUUCU
Molecule: long non-coding RNA, 4372 nt
Organism: Pseudopipra pipra
Lineage: Eukaryota; Metazoa; Chordata; Aves; Passeriformes; Pipridae
Exons: 4
Source: RefSeq, a predicted model, not a curated record